Molecule: ribosomal RNA, 49 nt
Filed under: Cryptomarasmius minutus
Lineage: Eukaryota; Fungi; Basidiomycota; Agaricomycetes; Agaricales; Physalacriaceae
Description: partial 18S ribosomal RNA
Rfam family: Eukaryotic small subunit ribosomal RNA
Source: RNAcentral
GAAAGUAAAAGUCGUANCAAGGUUUCCGUAGGUGAACCUGCGGAAGGAU